CAUUGCGAUCGAUUUCCAUGAGAUUAUUUCCGCAACUGGCAAGAUGAAUGAUAAGUGCUUUAUGGAUGCCCAGCAGUCCAGCAGUAAAGGUGUUUUGUAUCUCUGUGAAAGGAACUCCAAGGCAAAUAACGUUCUGGUAACCCGUGACGACAUCUUCACUGCAAAAGCAAUUCCCGCAAUCAACAGCAUCUGUUGGACCGAUGCUGCCCAAUAACAAAAGCAGCUGCCACAAUUUGAAAAGAAAGUCAGUCGUCGUCGCACAGAAGCUGGGCUAGUGAAAUCGCCAUCACUUGCUUCAUCUGUCACUAUCUCGAUUCUUUCCGGAGGUCUUUUAUGUUUCAUUGUCCCGGCAACUAAACAAUAGGAUAAGAACUGACAAAAGAAAAUCCUAAUUGAUUUGUUGCCCCAAACAUUUAAGAAAACAAAAGUUGUAAGCCCUAAAGAAUAGCUUGCAUGUGAAAAGUCACAAGUCUUAUCCGUGUUGAUCCGUGUCUGUUUUUCUCCACAUUUUAUUUUCUUUCUCACGAAACUAGACCUGUUAGAAGGUGCGAUUUCUUCUAUUGCGUAUAAUAGUUUCAAUUUUAAAUUUCGUUGACAUUCGUUUAACAGAAUCAAAUUCUUGUUUCAAUAAUUUUAUUGGUGUUCUACAUUUCUAAACCCGACACAAUUUCUCAGAAUUGGAAAUGAUCCU
This is a long non-coding RNA of Daphnia pulicaria, 691 nucleotides long. RefSeq lists it as uncharacterized. NCBI's taxonomy places the organism in Eukaryota, Metazoa, Arthropoda, Branchiopoda, Diplostraca, Daphniidae. The transcript is spliced from 3 exons. The record is from RefSeq and is a predicted model, not a curated record.